Molecule: long non-coding RNA, 343 nt
Organism: Cryptomeria japonica (Japanese cedar)
Lineage: Eukaryota; Viridiplantae; Streptophyta; Pinopsida; Cupressales; Cupressaceae
Exons: 4
Source: RefSeq, a predicted model, not a curated record
GAAGAAAGCUCCAUUUGUGGUACAGAACGCGGUUUGUUCAGAGAAAGACUAUUAUAUUAUCCUUCAGAAGGGUUUGUUGCGGUGUCUUAUGCAAUCUGAAGAAGCUUCCUUUCGACUUCAAGAACAGAGGGUUACCCACUUCAAAGAUUUUCAGAUCUGAUAUUUUAAGUUGAGCUGUUUGAAAGUAAGCUUUUCAGUAUCUUUCCGGAUCAUUCAAAAGGGUUUGUUCCCUGGCUAUUUGAAUGUUAAGAAGCUGUCUACGUACGUACUUUUGGAUUUCAAGCAGAAAGGGCUUCACUUCAAAUAUUGUCAGAUCUGAUAUUUCAAGUUAAAAGGACCGAUG